AUUGAACGCUGGCGGCAGGCUCAACACAUGCAAGUCGAGCGGAGAGAGGUAGCUUGCUACUGAUCUUAGCGGCGGACGGGUGAGUAAUGCUUAGGAAUCUGCCUAUUAGUGGGGGACAACAUUUCGAAAGGAAUGCUAAUACCGCAUACGUCCUACGGGAGAAAGCAGGGGAUCUUCGGACCUUGCGCUAAUAGAUGAGCCUAAGUCGGAUUAGCUAGUUGGUGGGGUAAAGGCCUACCAAGGCGACGAUCUGUAGCGGGUCUGAGAGGAUGAUCCGCCACACUGGGACUGUGACACGGCCCAGACUCCUACGGGAGGCAGCAGUGGGGAAUAUUGGACAAUGGGCGGAAGCCUGAUCCAGCCAUGCCGCGUGUGUGAAGAAGGCCUUAUGGUUGUAAAGCACUUUAAGCGAGGAGGAGGCUACUUUAGUUAAUACCUAGAGAUAGUGGACGUUACUCGCAGAAUAAGCACCGGCUAACUCUGUGCCAGCCGCCGCCGUAA
Molecule: ribosomal RNA, 501 nt
Filed under: uncultured bacterium
Lineage: Bacteria
Description: partial 16S ribosomal RNA
Rfam family: Bacterial small subunit ribosomal RNA
Source: RNAcentral